This 465-nucleotide ribosomal RNA is filed under the name uncultured bacterium. RNAcentral describes it as "partial 16S ribosomal RNA". It matches the Rfam family "Bacterial small subunit ribosomal RNA", at positions 338 to 795 of the family's 1533-position model. The record is from RNAcentral.
CCUACGGGUGACAGCAGUGGGGGAUAUUGCUCAAUGGGCGAAAGCCUGACGCAGCGACGCCGCGUGAGGGAUGAAGGUCUUCGGAUCGUAAACCUCUGUCAGCAGGGAAGAACGGUCACUGUGCUAAUCAGCAGUGAAUUGACGGUACCUGCAAAGGAAGCACCGGCUAACUCCGUGCCAGCAGCCGCGGUAAUACGGAGGGUGCGAGCGUUAAUCGGAAUUACUGGGCGUAAAGCGCUCGUAGGCGGGAUGUCAAGUCAAGGGUGAAAGCCCCGGGCUGAACGUGGGAACUGCCUUUGAAACUGGCAAACUGGAGUGUGUGAGAGGAUAGUGGAAUUCCAGGUGUAGGAGUGAAAUCCGUAGAUAUCUGGAGGAACAUCAGUGGCGAAGGCGACUAUCUGGCACAUAACUGACGCUGAGGAGCGAAAGCGUGGGUAGCAAACAGGAUUAGAUACCCCAGUAGUC